Molecule: long non-coding RNA, 295 nt
Organism: Ictalurus punctatus (channel catfish)
Lineage: Eukaryota; Metazoa; Chordata; Actinopteri; Siluriformes; Ictaluridae
Exons: 2
Source: RefSeq, a predicted model, not a curated record
AAUUGGCACGGAAGCAGGAGCGGGCGGCAGGUGUAGAGCGUGGUAUCGGGAAGUACAAGAAACGUAGUCGUAAGACAGGCAAAGGUCAAGCGAUCGGACGAACAACACAAACGGGGUCAGGCAGAGAGCGUAGUCGAAACCGGAAACAAGGGUCGAGGAUAACACGAAGACAAACUAACUAGAAUGGCUUGGUAUCGCAGAGAAACGAAUUGACUGAGCGGGGAAAGACUUUUCUUGGUUUUUCAGUCCAAUCAAAGACUCUGCAGUGAACAGCUUCUUAUCUACAUUAGGAUGG